RNAcentral lists this small RNA (922 nucleotides) under Pongo abelii (Sumatran orangutan). RNAcentral's name for it is "retained intron". The record is from RNAcentral. Lineage: Eukaryota; Metazoa; Chordata; Mammalia; Primates; Hominidae.
AAGAUGGCUGCCGCCCGGGGGUUGUCCCUAACGGCCGCGACGCAGAAAGCGGUCACUCCUUGGCCGAGGGGCAGGCUCCUCGCGGCCUCCCUGGGACCCCAGGCGCGUCGGGAAGCGUCGUCCUCCAGCCCCGAGGCCGGCGAAGGGCAGAUCCGCCUCACAGACAGUUGCGUCCAGAGGCUUCUGGAAAUCACCGAAGGGUCAGAAUUCCUCAGGCUGCAAGUGGAGGGAGGUGGAUGCUCCGGAUUCCAAUACAAAUUUUCACUGGAUACAGUUAUCAACCCCGACGACAGGCAAGGAGGAAGGGGUGGGUCCCAAAGGAGGUACGGGAGGGACAAAAGUGUCUCCAGUUUGAGGUGCACUUUUAUUCCAAAUUUAAAGGGUUUACCUGGGAUGGUUAACACCGCCCGUCUCACAGUGAGGAUGCAGUAAAGGUUUGUUGUCCUGAAUCAAAAUAACAGUUACAGAAGCAAAAUUGACCUGCCCAGGUCCAUUGGUUAGUCGGUAGAAAGUCAGGCUGGACUAGAUUCCAGGCUUAAGUCCCUAAACGUUUCCCAGUAUUUAUUCCAUUGAAUCAUUUUGCCUCAAAGAAAAUCAGCACCUGUUAAAGGUAAUCGGGAAGCUCCCUCUGUACUUUAGAAAACAGAGGAUGUGCACCUCUGGGCUUAGGGGGUGUCUUUUUUGUGUUUGCGAUACUCAUUAAUGCCUUCCUCCUGCCUUUUCAGGGUAUUUGAACAGGGUGGGGCAAGAGUGGUGGUUGACUCUGAUAGCUUGGCCUUCGUGAAAGGGGCCCAGGUGGACUUCAGCCAAGAACUGAUCCGAAGCUCAUUUCAAGUGUUGAACAAUCCUCAAGCACAGCAAGGCUGCUCCUGUGGGUCAUCCUUCUCUAUCAAACUUUGAUGCGAUGACUGGUGACUCUGAG